This 468-nucleotide ribosomal RNA is filed under the name uncultured bacterium. Its description in RNAcentral is "partial 16S ribosomal RNA". It matches the Rfam family "Bacterial small subunit ribosomal RNA", at positions 28 to 507 of the family's 1533-position model. The record is from RNAcentral.
GACGAACGCUGGCGGCGUGCUUAACACAUGCAAGUCGAACGGAAAGGCCCGGCGCUUGUGGGGUGCUCGAGUGGCGAACGGGGGAGUAACACGUGAGUAACCUGCCCCUGACUGUGGGAUAACUUCAGGAAACUGGGGCUAAUACCGCGUACGAGCUCCUGCUGCAUGGGGUGGGUUGGAAAAUUUCGGCGUUUGGGGAUGGACUCGCGGGUUAUGAGCUGGUUGGUGGGGUAGGGGCUGACCAGGGCUUUGACGGGUAGCCGGCCUGAGAGGAUGAACGGCGACCUUGGGCCUGAGGUACGGACCAGAAUGCUACGCGACGCAGCAGGGGGGAAUCUUACGCAGUGAGCGCACGCCAGAUGCAGCAACGCCGCGAUCGGGAUGACCUGUUUCGGGUUGUAAACAACUUUGGCAUGUGACGAAGCGUGAGUGACGGUACUGGGUAAAGAAGCCCCGGCUAACUACGUG